CCCGAUUCGAGGCGCGACGAGAGCGACCGCAGCGGGAGUGACCGCGUCGAAUCCAUCGAUUCGAGGAGGGGAGAGGAGCCAAUCCAUCCAGUCCGGAUUUGAGUGGCAGAGACGAGCGGCCGGUUCAGUCGAUUCGGUCAACCUGAGGUGCGGGAUGGGAUCGAGGCAAGUACAUGUGUGCGCUGGAUCGACCGGAGGAGCAAGAUCCGGGUCCAGCCGAUGUAGUCCGGAGCUGAAGCGAGGAGGCGCACGAUGCGGCUGAAGAAGUGGUAGUACUCCCAAAGGCGAUGCAGAUACAGAGGAGGAGAGGCAUCGAUGCAUCGAGCCAAGGCAAUGUGAGGCGCGCGAUUCAAUCGACCGGAGUUGCAGGCAUGCGCUGGGAUUAACCGGGGGCACCUACCAUCACUCGUAUCCUUGUCGACUUCUUCCUCCAUGCCCUCAUCCGUCCAUCCACCCCGGGUGGCGGCACGCCGCUCGCGCACCACAGGCGCCCCCUUCAGGUCAGAGCCCAACUCACCGCCGUCGGCCGCAGCGGCCAGGCUGGGCCUCUCCUUCUACCGGUCCUGAGAUCCACCGACACCAGCCCCGUCGUCCAGCGUCGGGUGCCUAAGAUCGGCAUGCCUCCUCCCGAUGUGAGUUUCACUUGGAAUUAUAUUUUUCUGCUGACUGUAGGAUGGAUGAAAGUGAAGUGCGUUUGCCGGAAUACAUCUGUACUUUGUUCGUGUUGUGACAUUGUUAAGGGAUUUGUUAAUUCAGCAAAAUGAAAUUUUUUUCAUGAGAGAUGGAUAAAUAGGCCGAUAUAUACUUGCAGGCAGUACAGUUCUGGGAAUACUGUGUUAAUGAAUGAAUCUCAUCUCCACAAAGUUGCUUCGUAGAUCUUUUUUCUUCCAGAAUCUUCUGAAUUCAUUUUGGUCAGAUGUAUACUUGCAGUUGCAGGUUUAUCUAGAUGAAAAGGGUCUUUCAAUAUUAGGCUGAUGCUUCAACUAAGCACGUCUCUUUUUUAAUCUAUGGCGGAUAUAGUCUAACACUACUUUCCUUCCUACUAACAGGUAUUUUCAUAUGGCUGAAAGAAUUAACUGCUACAGAUUUCAGAAACUGUUCAACUACACAAUUUUUGCUUAUGUCUUUUUCAAUCAGUUUUGAACUUUAACUCCCUGUUGUAUGGAUGCAUAUUAAUUUUCAGUGCACAAAAUUCAAGGGUUUGAACUUUUUUCCUUUGCACUUCCUAGCGACCUGGACCAGCGCCAUGGUAACGAGCGUGUCCCCUAUCCUGACCUUCAACUUAGCGGCAGAUCCGCUGGUGGAACCGGUGUCCCUAGGUGAGUAAUCGUCCAGAUGGACGUUGUGCUUCCGCCCAACAGGUACUACUCCUUCAUCUCAUCUUUUCAUCAGCUAAUUCAACACGUGUAGUUCGUCCACCUCUUCUUUUGGAUCUGAAUCAAGUUGUGUUAUAUUGAUCCCCAUCCCCUCCAGUGAAUAUUUCUCUAAGAGAAUUUUAAUUAAGAAGAUCCGUUCUAGGUAGAGGAGUAGAGGCAUUUUUUCCACAGGGUGGUAGUGAGGUGUUGCAGAUUGGAGCACCAUCAGCAGUUCUUGAGCACCAUGGCAAGGCAAAGGUGCUCCGUGUGCCUUGCAUCCCAAAAAUUAGCAUUAUGUAAAAAUCUGGUUCAUCUGAAUCUAACAUGAAAACAUAGAAGAUUUAUUAGAUGUGAAAAAUCCUAUGAGCAACAUACUAAUCAACAUUCUGCAUUAGAUUGCUUAGUUGGGAGCUAGAACCUUAAAAAAAGUGAAUUAAGCUAGAUACAUAAAAAUUAGGCACUCACAGUGACUCCAAGCCCAAGUAGGCAGUCAGACAUCUUGGCAUUCUACUGUUGGAGAUGACGAGCUUCAGAUGUGAGAUGGUUCUGUUGAAGUAACUGUGUGUCUGGGCGGUCUUGCCGUUGACCGUUGCAUCCAUAUGUGGGGUUAGCUGGUCCUGUACCUCUUCCGGUGGUAGGGACUGGGCGACAACUGAAAGUCCUUCUCAAAUUUGAGCUCCAUUUUUUUAAAAUCCCCUAUUUUUUGCACGUUGAUGAUGACCAUUUUGGACUGUAUAAUUGCUCUUGAUAUGGUUUAUAGCUUCCUUUUACUACUCUUACCAUCGUCCAAUCAAGUUCAUCCAUGUCAAACCCUAUAGCUAGAAAUAGAGUAGUGUCGAAAAGAAGGUUUGAUUGUACUAUUUAAUUGCUCAUCAAUUUCAGUGUAUACUUUCUUCACUUGGAAAACUUAAACCUAAAAAUUAAACUGGUGGUCUAUAUGAAAUAACACAUCAGAUUUCUACUGAGUGAUGCCUCACUUGUUAUUUGUCUUGCAGAUUAGAGUAAUAACUUGAUGAUCAUUCUCAACCUUGUAUUCGUAUUUUUUUAGGAGAUCGUAUUUUUUAGGAGAUUGAUCCAAGAAAGAAUCACACAUUUGCAAUAUGUACUUCAUAAGUGAAAAAAUGGUUUCGAACUAGGAAAUCUGAAACUGUAGUCUUGUAUAGCAAGACGUAUAGUCUCAGAUUAUUAUUGUAGAUUGUCUUAUUUUAUAAUGUAUUCUGUUUCUUGAAUAUAUAUUCCAAAAUUUCUCACGUACUGUUUCGGCAAAGAGGGAGAAAGGAGCUGAUUGCAGAGCACUGAAAUAUUUCUUGGCUGCCAAAGCUCCGUGAUCGCUUACACAUGUAUAUUAUCCAUGUACUCUGGGUUAUCUGGGAUCAAUUACAACAAGGCACUUGGAUAUAUUUUAUAAAAGUGGUAUUUUUGUCAAUUUAAUAUACUUCCAUCACACUGUGUUUAUUUAUUCAUGCUAUUCUGAUGAGGAUAUGGCUAUGCAAGGCAUCCGUGCUUGAUAAUUGGUCAUACAGUGAUGUGUUACUUCUUGUGGCAUUCAUUUGCAGCAGAAUCAGAUGCAAUAAAGUCUGAAAACUAGAUUGUUUUUGCUCAUAUGACAAAGAUAAUGGGAAUUUUUUUGGGCGUAUUGAUCAUGCUUGCCUUUCCCUGAGCUCCAGCUAUUCAUGCUACUGCAUCUAAUAUCAAUUGUAGCUAUAUAGAGGUUGCCAUCAUUAUGCUAUUAGAUAGACAUAAUCUGUGGACUACUCCCUUCGUAAAGGGUACCUUUUUUUCAGUUCUUAUACCUUUUCGUAAUGUUGUGACAGAAACAAAAUGUAAAGUUAAAAGAAUGUUUACCUGAGCGCAUCACAUGUGUCUCUUUUUAUUUAUUUAAUUAUUUUUUAUUUUUUUACUACCCAAUUAUGGGAGUUUAUUCAAAUUUAAUAUUCAUGUUCUGUAGCUUGGUUUAAUUAAAAUUCAUUUUGUUCUAUGAGCUAUGAGUAAACUGUCCAAAUGCCCCCCCCCCCCAACCACACACAUAUAUAAAAAUAUAUAAAUACAUACCAUUUUAUUGUCAAAAUAGAUGGGCGCGGCAACGCGCACCAUCAAUGAUCUAGUAAUAUUAACAAUAGCUUGUGAACUGAAGUUGUCUCCCAUCUUCAUGAUCUUAUUUUGUUAUGUUUACUUCCGUUGUAGCAGGUAUACAACAGUCCUGGUCUCCUUAUUGGGAGGUUUUCCGUAACCAGUCAUGUUCUGAGGGAAUAGUACUUCCAGCCCCUAAAUUGUUGGAUGUAAUGGAGUAUGCUUAUUGGAAAGGCUGCUUCUUGGCCCGUGCAAAGUUAGAAGAACAAGCAACACACCCAGCAAUCAAAAUUUCAGAAAUGGUGUCUGGCAUACCAUGCUCCAGGAAAGGAAGACGUGUGCUUAAUGUAUAUGUACACUAAGAUUGCCGACAUUGACCAACACAAAGUAGAAGCAACCAACUCAAAUAUGCAGUUUCAGAACGUCUGUUUGGCCUAUCAUGCUACAGCAAAGAUAGUCAUUAUAGAUUCUGUUGGAUCCCUAUUCUGAGUAUGAAAUUGAGAUUAUGUAUGUAUGUUUUCAACACAGGUAGUGAGCGAUUAUUGAGUAUAAACUUGCAAUCCCGGGAUUCUGGGCGCGAAGUUGGAUUCUGGGCGCGUCCAGAAGCGGAUCGCCGUGCGAUCCUGGGCGUCUCGUCUUCGCCGGCGUCACGUAGACGGGACCGCGGCCUAGUCUCCCAGUCCACGUCCUUCAAGUCGCCGCCUCCUUAUAUGAUUUUCUGUAUGACCUUGUGUAUUAACUAUUGUGUAUGAACUUGCAUUACUUACUACUGAAAGGGGAGCAGCGCCUGUUGAGACCCUGUGCGUGUCCAGAAGGGGGUCGCCGUCGGA
Long non-coding RNA from Triticum aestivum (bread wheat), 4255 nucleotides. RefSeq lists it as uncharacterized. The record is from RefSeq and is a predicted model, not a curated record. The transcript has 3 exons. NCBI's taxonomy places the organism in Eukaryota, Viridiplantae, Streptophyta, Magnoliopsida, Poales, Poaceae.